Molecule: long non-coding RNA, 747 nt
Organism: Salvia miltiorrhiza (redroot sage)
Lineage: Eukaryota; Viridiplantae; Streptophyta; Magnoliopsida; Lamiales; Lamiaceae
Exons: 3
Source: RefSeq, a predicted model, not a curated record
UUGGUGUUUAGUAGAGAAUAGAAUUAAUAUGUACCAUUAGAUCUACAAGAUCCGACGGCUCCAAAUAAAUUCGAAUAAUUGAAAUAUUAAGCAAACAAAAACGCGUGAAAUUAAAUGCUUCGAAAAUUGACUGUACAAAGGGUUUUUUGGGAAAUUCAUCACGAAGGUAAAUGUGGAAGUUCCGAUUUUCACUCUUCAACUUCUCGCCGAUUCUUAUGGUGUAGAUUAGGGCUUUUCAAACGGACACAAUCUAUAUUCCAGAAAACCUUCUGCAGAUUGAAGAAGAAAGUUGAAGAUCUUCGUCUUUUGGGCAAAUUUUUUAGGCAAUCGACGGAGGUAUGUUCGAAUAUUCAGGCAAACGGCGGAGGUAUGUUCUAAUUUUCGUAGAGAGGCGAAUUUCAUCGAAUAAAGGUUUAAAGAACACGCUUCGCGCAACAAUCGAAAGUCGCAGGAGAUAGCUGCCCUUGAAAAGGAUACGAGAUAUGAGUUGAGAGUUCUUGCGCAGAAUUAUCCUGAUACACUUGGACUAGCGAUCAAGGAUUUCUUGAAAGUGGAUGAUAAUACAAUUGUAUUUGUUGCUGAUCCCACAAAGAAGAUCGCGAAUAUAUGAUUGAAAAUAUCUCACCAAUGAGUAAGCACUCUGAAGACGUUGUGCAUGCAUGCAAAAAGGCAAAACUUGGACAUGAUAUAGCUAUUCAUACAAACUCACAGAGUAGAACAGAUUAAAGUUUAUAAUCAUGUGUUGUC